Molecule: transfer RNA, 85 nt
Filed under: Chitinispirillales bacterium
Lineage: Bacteria; Pseudomonadati; Fibrobacterota; Chitinispirillia; Chitinispirillales
Description: tRNA-Ser
Rfam family: tRNA
About the family: Transfer RNA (tRNA) molecules are approximately 80 nucleotides in length. Their secondary structure includes four short double-helical elements and three loops (D, anti-codon, and T loops).
Source: RNAcentral
GGAGGACUAGGAUAACGGUAAUUCAGCGGUCUUGAAAACCGUCGCCCUUACGGGCUUGGGGGUUCGAAUCCCUCGUCCUCCGCCA